This 370-nucleotide ribosomal RNA is filed under the name uncultured organism. Its description in RNAcentral is "bacterial SSU rRNA". It matches the Rfam family "Bacterial small subunit ribosomal RNA", at positions 526 to 896 of the family's 1533-position model. The record is from RNAcentral.
CGUAGGGUGCAAGCGUUAAUCGGAAUUACUGGGCGUAAAGCGUGCGCAGGCGGUAAUGUAAGACAGUUGUGAAAUCCCCGGGCUCAACCUGGGAACUGCAUCUGUGACUGCAUUGCUGGAGUACGGUAGAGGGGGAUGGAAUUCCGCGUGUAGCAGUGAAAUGCGUAGAUAUGCGGAGGAACACCGAUGGCGAAGGCAAUCCCCUGGACCUGUACUGACGCUCAUGCACGAAAGCGUGGGGAGCAAACAGGAUUAGAUACCCUGGUAGUCCACGCCCUAAACGAUGUCAACUGGUUGUUGGGUCUUCACUGACUCAGUAACGAAGCUAACGUGUGAAGUUGACCGCCUGGGGAGUACGGCCGCAAGGUUG